This 75-nucleotide transfer RNA is filed under the name Candidatus Saccharibacteria bacterium RIFCSPHIGHO2_12_FULL_47_17. RNAcentral describes it as "tRNA-Gly". It matches the Rfam family "tRNA". Rfam says of the family: Transfer RNA (tRNA) molecules are approximately 80 nucleotides in length. The record is from RNAcentral. RNAcentral also lists the same sequence under 1 other name. Lineage: Bacteria; Candidatus Saccharimonadota.
GCGGGUGUGGUAUAACGGCUAUUACAUUUGUUUUCCAAACAAAUUACGGGAGUUCGACUCUCCCCACCCGCACCA